GCAUAUCAAUAAGCGGAGGAAAAGAAACCAACAGGGAUUGCCCUAGUAACGGCGAGUGAAGCGGCAACAGCUCAAAUUUGAAAUCUGGCUCUCGGGCCCGAGUUGUAAUUUGUAGAGGAUGCUUUUGAUGCGGUGCCUUCCGAGUUCCCUGGAACGGGACGCCAUAGAGGGUGAGAGCCCCGUCUGGUUGGAUGCCAAAUCUCUGUAAAGCUCCUUCGACGAGUCGAGUAGUUUGGGAAUGCUGCUCUAAAUGGGAGGUAUAUGUCUUCUAAAGCUAAAUACCGGCCAGAGACCGAUAGCGCACAAGUAGAGUGAUCGAAAGAUGAAAAGCACUUUGAAAAGAGAGUUAAAAAGUACGUGAAAUUGUUGAAAGGGAAGCGUUUAUGACCAGACUUGGGCUUGGUUAAUCAUCUGGGGUUCUCCCCAGUGCACUUUUCCAGUCCAGGCCAGCAUCAGUUUUCGCCGGGGGAUAAAGGCUUCGGGAAUGUGGCUCUCUCCGGGGAGUGUUAUAGCCCGUUGCGUAAUACCCUGGCGGGGACUGAGGUUCGCGCAUCUGCAAGGAUGCUGGCGUAAUGGUCAUCAACGACCCGUCUUGAAACACGGACCAAGGAGUCGUCUUCGUAUGCGAGUGUUCGGGUGUCAAACCCCUACGCGUAAUGAAAGUGAACGCAGGUGAGAGCUUCGGCGCAUCAUCGACCGAUCCUGAUGUUCUCGGAUGGAUUUGAGUAAGAGCAUACGGGGCCGGACCCGAAAGAAGGUGAACUAUGCCUGUGUAGGGUGAAGCCAGAGGAAACUCUGGUGGAGGCUCGCAGCGGUUCUGACGUGCAAAUCGAUCGUCAAACAUGGGCAUGGGGGCGAAAGACUAAUCGAACCUUCUAGUAGCUGGUUUCCGCG
This 894-nucleotide ribosomal RNA is filed under the name Fusarium incarnatum. Its description in RNAcentral is "LSU rRNA". It matches the Rfam family "Eukaryotic large subunit ribosomal RNA", at positions 38 to 962 of the family's 3401-position model. Lineage: Eukaryota; Fungi; Ascomycota; Sordariomycetes; Hypocreales; Nectriaceae. The record is from RNAcentral.